This 460-nucleotide ribosomal RNA is filed under the name uncultured bacterium. Its description in RNAcentral is "partial 16S ribosomal RNA". It matches the Rfam family "Bacterial small subunit ribosomal RNA", at positions 338 to 795 of the family's 1533-position model. The record is from RNAcentral.
CCUACGGGUGGCAGCAGUGAGGAAUAUUGGUCAAUGGCCGGAAGGCUGAACCAGCCAUGCCGCGUGAAGGUCAGUGCCCCAUGGGCGGUAAACUUCUUUUGUGCGGGAGCAAUAAUGGUCACGUGUGGCCAGACGAGAGUACCGUACGAAUAAGCAUCGGCUAACUCCGUGCCAGCAGCCGCGGUAAUACGGGGGAUGCAAGCGUUAUCCGGAUUUAUUGGGUUUAAAGGGUGCGUAGGCUGUGAGGUAAGUCAGCGGUGAAAUGCCCCCGCUCAACGGGGUGAAGUGCCAUUGAUACUGCCUUGCUGGAAGGCGGAUGCCGUGGGAGGAAUGUGUGGUGUAGCGGGGAAAUGCAUAGAUAUCACACAGAACACCGAUUGCGAAGGCAUCUCGCGGGUCCGCGAUUGACGCUGAUGCACGAAAGCGUGGGUAUCAAACAGGAUUAGAUACCCCUGUAGUC